CAGUAGCCGCGGUAAUACGAAGGGUGCAAGCGUUACUCGGAAUUACUGGGCGUAAAGCGUACGCAGGCGGUCUGUCAAGUCAGAUGUGGAAUCCCCGGGCUUAACCUGGGAACUGCAUUUGAAACUGGCAGGCUAGAGUCUUGUAGAGGGGGGUAGAAUUCCAGGUGUAGCGGUGAAAUGCGUAGAGAUCUGGAGGAAUACCGGUGGCGAAGGCGGCCCCCUGGACAAAGACUGACGCUCAGGUGCGAAAGCGUGGGGAGCAAACAGGAUUAGAUACCCCAGUAGUCCCUGUCUCUUAUAC
RNAcentral lists this ribosomal RNA (301 nucleotides) under uncultured bacterium. RNAcentral describes it as "partial 16S ribosomal RNA". It matches the Rfam family "Bacterial small subunit ribosomal RNA", at positions 509 to 807 of the family's 1533-position model. The record is from RNAcentral.